UACGUAGGGGGCAAGCGUUAUCCGGAUUUACUGGGUGUAAAGGGAGCGUAGACGGCGAAGCAAGUCUGAAGUGAAAGGCGGGGGCCCAACCCCCGGACUGCUUUGGAAACUGUAUGGCUGGAGUGCAGGAGAGGUAAGUGGAAUUCCUAGUGUAGCGGUGAAAUGCGUAGAUAUUAGGAGGAACACCAGUGGCGAAGGCGGCUUACUGGACUGUAACUGACGUUGAGGCUCGAAAGCGUGGGGAGCAAACAGG
RNAcentral lists this ribosomal RNA (253 nucleotides) under uncultured bacterium. Its description in RNAcentral is "partial 16S ribosomal RNA". It matches the Rfam family "Bacterial small subunit ribosomal RNA", at positions 524 to 776 of the family's 1533-position model. The record is from RNAcentral.